Molecule: long non-coding RNA, 3219 nt
Filed under: Citrus maxima (pomelo)
Lineage: Eukaryota; Viridiplantae; Streptophyta; Magnoliopsida; Sapindales; Rutaceae
Description: long non-coding RNA (CMAX_LNC001334)
Source: RNAcentral
UCAUGCAAUAAUAAUCAUCAUGUCUUUCAGGCAGCUAUCCAUCCUCAAUUGAAACAGAGCAGACCCGGCCAUCACUUCCUUCUUCAAAGUCCAGCAACCAAACGUUGCACAAUAACCACAAUGAUAAUCCUUGGUUACCCCCAAUGUGCUCCAUAGAGUCUUCAAAGUCAACCUGAAAAUGAAAUAAAAAUGCAAUCCAGGUAGAAAUGAAAAUUCUAUAAAUAAAAUAAAAUAAAAAUGCAAUGUUUGAGCUUGAGCUUGCUUUAACAUCAUCAUAAUAGGGAAUUUUUAUAUAUAUAGUUACUUCUCUGUUCUUGUUUAUUCACAACAAGAUAUCAAUAGAAGAAGAUGGAAAUGAAAUUCUAUAAAAAAAAGCAAGUGAAUUACCAGCAAAACAUUUUAGCAAUCCUUUGGCUAAACUAUUCAUUUUCAUAAUCUUGCUCUCCUGCGUGCAUCAUUAGAACCAAAUUAGCGUGGACCUGUGAAUUGCUAGUGCAGUUAUGACAUUUCCUCGAAUCCCUGGUGAGCAUAAUUAAACUCGUAUGAAAUAAAACAAAGUGGGCUAAUGUACUACUAAAAACAAUCACACAAUUACUUUAAAGAAUUAAUGUCACAUAAAUUAUAUAUAAAAAAAUACGAUUAUCAUUAUACAAGAUAACAUUGAUAAUUUAGUUUUCAACAUUACUGCAAAUGUAUCAUAGAGAUUAUGUCUCUCAGGAACUUACACAUAAAUUAUUUCUAUGAUGUUGUAUGAAAUUUUACAAAAGACUACAUAGUUUUUAAAAGAAAUUAUAGAAAUUUCAACAGACUGCACUUGUUUUUUUUACUUUAUUUUAUUAUUAUUUUAGCUUUAGAAAACAAGUUUAACAAAUUUGAUGACUAGGAAGUUUAAAUUUUAAAUAAUUAAAAUUAAAGUAUUAUUCUUACUAACCUUUAUGAACUAUUGAUUAAAUUUAACACUACAUAUUUAUACUAUGAUUGAUUCUGUAAUUUUUAUAAUAGCAUCAUAAAGUGACCCAAUAAAUUAAUAGUUGAAGUAAAUAGUUAAAUUCGAUAUGCAAAUCAAAAUAUUAGAAAAUAUUGUAUAUUCCUGUCAGACAUUGGGCAAUAUAUAGAAUUUUAAUUCAAAAUAUAAUUAUUUUUAUUAAUUUUAUUGCAAGCAACAACAAAGUAAAUCAGAGGAGGAGGAGAAAUUACCGGCGAGUGAUAUCUUACGCCGACCGCAUGAUGUAGGGAAGGUGAGAUAUCUUAUGCCAGUCUUCUCCUUCCCCUUCUCUGUAACCCCAAAUUGUCAAUGUUUGUAGUGUCGUUGUUUGAAGUAACAACAAAGUAAAAUAGAGGAGAGAAAUUACCGGUGGGUGAUAGUAAUUGCAACCAUUCGAGAAUUUACCACUCGGACUCGAUGUAGGGAAUGUGAGAUAUCUUAUGCUAGUCUUCUCCUUUCCCCUCUCUAUAACGGUUUUCCAGAAGAGGACAUCCCUGAAUACUCAAUUGCUGCAGCGUCGUCGUCCGAAGAAGCUAAUCCGGCAGCACGUUUAAUUUGGGGCAAUACUCAAUUUCCAAGGAAGAAAGACGUGGUAUGUCUGUUGUCCUGUGAUCUUCUAGAAUGCGCAGUUCUUCCAUAAUUGGACAAUAAGAAAUACUCAAUUUCUGCAAUGUCGUCGAUUGAAAAAGGUAAUCCGGCAGCACCCUUAAUCUGGGGCAAUACCAAAUUGUCAAGGAAGAAAGACGCGGCAUGAUGGAGAUGUUUUCCUUUCUUGUAAUCCUAUAAUUCCACUCUUCCAAUUCUUCCAUUGCCCCAAUGUGGAGUGAUUUCAAUUUGGGGAAGGCAAUGACUGAUGAUGAUGAUGAAGAUGAAGAUGGGUCAUCCUCACUGCUUCCUUCGAUUCCCAAAAACUCAUUACCCACUCUUUUCACACCAUACAGGCCGUAAAGGGUGAGUUUUUCCAACGGUAAUUUUCCCAAGGGAGGAAAAUGCUCACAGAUAACGCACGAUUUAAGUCUUAAAUCCCUUAGAUUGGUUAGUGAAGUCAACCAUUUGGGAAAUAUGUUGCCUCCGUAGGAUACAAUCCCUAAUUCUUUUACAUUCAAAGGCGGUUGUAAGGCUUCCAGAAGUUGUUGAUUCUUCCUCCUCCCUUCUUCACCUUCCUCAUCAAACUCAAGAGAUAAACGAAGGAGGUUUUUCAUAUUGUGAAGUCCUAAUCUCUCAUCCUCAUCUAAAUGUGACACAUUACUCAGCCCUUCUAUUCCACAUUCUCGAAGGAGUUGAAGAUUUUUCAGAGAUUCAAGCCUACACGUACUGAUAUCAUCAACACCUCCGCCCAUAGCAAACUUUUCUAAUGUUCGAAGACUGGUUAAUUUGGAAAUCCCUAUUGGCAUGUACUUCAACAAAGGAGUGCCACCAUUCAGUAAACUCCUCAUUUUCUUUAACUUCCCAAUCCCCGCUGGCAAUUCUCUAAGAUCUUCGCACCACCUAAUAUCUAGCUUUUGUAAAUUAUAUAAUUCACACAAAGUCUUAGGCAGUCUCUCUAUACAUAAUUCAGACAAAUUAAGAUAUUUUAAAUGUAUUAAUUUUCUGACAUUUUCUGGAAUUUCUCUAAUCAAAUUUGGGUAAGGAUCAAAUAUAAAGUUCUGUUGCCCUAUAACUAAUGCCUUGAAACACGCCAAUUUACUAAAUAACUCCGAAAGGAUGCUACUAUUAAGAGACGGAUUGGAAGGACUUUGGAAAUAAAUUAGGAGGGUCCGCAAUCUAUUAAGUCCAUGAAUGGACAUAGGAAAUGAAGCUCCUCCUUCAAAAUUUAACCCUAAGUGACGGACUUUAUCACCAAAAGAGUUUAUGACUGAUUCUUUGGUACCAUUAAUUUCUACCCACAAACAUUCUUUUCUACUUACAAAUUGAGCAAAAUUGUGUACUAUGUCAUGCAUCUUACAGCUCAUAAUAUCAUCAUCAUCAUCAUCUUUUUUAAACUCUUGAAAGAAAGAGCGUGCUGCUAAUGUUGAAAUACUCUUCCCCAGUCAUCUCUAUCUCUUCGUCUUCUUCUGCAUUAAGGUAACCUUGAACCAUCCAUAGUGAAAUUAGUUCCUUUUUUUUUAUAUUGUACUCUUUCGGAAAGAUUGCACAAUAUGAAAAACAUCGUUUUACCAUAGAAUUGGAGGGCAAAUCAUUAUAACUCAACAACAAUGGAGCAAAAAGGCCUUGCCCAAUCUCUUCUACUUUCC